Molecule: long non-coding RNA, 836 nt
Organism: Dendrobium catenatum
Lineage: Eukaryota; Viridiplantae; Streptophyta; Magnoliopsida; Asparagales; Orchidaceae
Exons: 2
Source: RefSeq, a predicted model, not a curated record
UCCUCUAUUCGGCUGAAUUCAAAAGUAUAUAAAUUCACUAUUGAUUAAUGUGACAACCGGUUCUUCCGGCCGGUUCAACUGAACCGGCCGGCCCACCCUUUAUAAUCCCGCGAACAGAAGGAUCGCGGAACAGAACUGUUCGCGCGAAACAGAGAGGGGCGCGACGACGGCUUCGUGCGUAGAACAAGGUAGGUUUUUCUUUUCUCUGAUUUUAGCAAGUGAUUAUCUUCAAGAGUAAGAAAUAGUAAUUCCUUUUCAUUCUUAUAGUUAUCAGAGUGUUAUUUUGGGAGAGAUUGGAAGAACGAGAGAAACGGACGAUAAGGCUUAAGGGAAAGAUAAGGAAAGAAUUGAAGCGAAGAAAGAGGAAAUUGGAAGAUAAGGGAUUUUGGGAGUUUGAGAAGUUCUCAAUUGUAAGUGAAUUAUUAAUACUUGUUAUCGAAUCACAAUUUUAUUGAUAUGAAAAUCAUUGUAUGAAUUUAGGUUUUAGAAAGUGAAUGAUCAAGUUGUAGGUGUUGAUCCCGCGAGGAUUCAACAAGAAGAGAAAUUGAUUCAAGAGAAGAUCAAGCAUUGAAGACCUGAAGAGUUCAAAGUGGAUAAAUUAUAUUAUUUUAUGUUUUAUUAAUGAUUUCAAUUUUCUAAAUAAUUGAUUAAACAUCUUAUAUUAUUAAAUGUUGAAGGCAAACGUUUAUGAUUUUACCGUCUUAAGAAAGAAUCUAUAUGUUAUAAAGAUUUAAAGGCUUAUGGAAAAGGAAAAGAAUUAUUUAUGCAAAUGCAUGUUAAUUAUAUUAUAUGAAAUAGAAAUAAUCAAGAUGAAAAUGAGAAAAAGAAAAGAAAAA